GUGGGGAAUAUUGGACAAUGGGCGCAAGCCUGAUCCAGCAAUGCCGCGUGGGUGAAGAAGGUCUUCGGAUCGUAAAGCCCUUUCGGCGGGGACGAUGAUGACGGUACCCGCAGAAGAAGCCCCGGCUAACUUCGUGCCAGCAGCCGCGGUAAUACGAAGGGGGCUAGCGUUACUCGGAAUUACUGGGCGUAAAGGGCGCGUAGGCGGCGCUCCAAGUUAGGCGUGAAAGCCCUGGGCUCAACCUGGGGACUGCGCUUAAGACUGGAGUGCUAGAGGAUGGAAGAGGGUUGUGGAAUUCCCAGUGUAGAGGUGAAAUUCGUAGAUAUUGGGAAGAACACCGGUGGCGAAGGCGGCAACCUGGUCCAUUUCUGACGCUGAGGCGCGAUAGCGUGGGGAGCAAACAGGAUUAGAAACCCUAGUAGUCC
RNAcentral lists this ribosomal RNA (425 nucleotides) under uncultured bacterium. Its description in RNAcentral is "bacterial SSU rRNA". It matches the Rfam family "Bacterial small subunit ribosomal RNA", at positions 354 to 796 of the family's 1533-position model. The record is from RNAcentral.